GCAAGUCGAACGGUAACAGAGAGGUGCUUGCACCUUUGCUGACGAGCGGCGGACGGGUGAGUAAUGCUUGGGAAUAUGCCUUUUGGUGGGGGACAACAGUUGGAAACGACUGCUAAUACCGCAUGAUGUCUACGGACCAAAGUGGGGGACCUUCGGGCCUCACGCCAAGAGAUUAGCCCAAGUGGGAUUAGCUAGUUGGUGAGGUAAAGGCUCACCAAGGCAACGAUCCCUAGCUGGUCUGAGAGGAUGAUC
RNAcentral lists this ribosomal RNA (252 nucleotides) under uncultured bacterium. RNAcentral describes it as "partial 16S ribosomal RNA". It matches the Rfam family "Bacterial small subunit ribosomal RNA", at positions 57 to 305 of the family's 1533-position model. The record is from RNAcentral.